This 440-nucleotide ribosomal RNA is filed under the name uncultured bacterium. RNAcentral describes it as "partial 16S ribosomal RNA". It matches the Rfam family "Bacterial small subunit ribosomal RNA", at positions 338 to 795 of the family's 1533-position model. The record is from RNAcentral.
CCUACGGGUGGCAGCAGUGGGGAAUAUUGCACAAUGGGGGAAACCCUGAUGCAGCGACGCCGCGUGAGUGAAGAAGUAUUUCGGUAUGUAAAGCUCUGUCAGCAGGGAAGAAACUGACGGUUCCUGACCAAGAAGCUCCGGGUAACUACGUACCAGCAGCCGCUGUAAUACGUAGGGGUCAAGCGUUAUCCGGAUUUACUGGGUGUAAAGGGAGCGUAGACGGCAGGGCACGUUUGGUGUGAAAGGCGGGGGCUCAACCCCCGGACUGCUCUGGAAACUGCCGGGCUGGAGUGCAGGAGAGGUAAGUGGAAGUCCUAGUGUAGCGGUGAAAUGCGUAGAUAUUAGGAGGAACACCAGUGGCGAAGGCGGCUUACUGGACUGUAACUGACGUUGAGGCUCGAAAGCGUGGGGAGCAAACAGGAUUAGAUACCCUUGUAGUC